AGGACUCCACAUCCUAUCCUAGUGGACAUGAUCUUUUCCUAUUGUGCUUGACCUUCUAUAACCUCUAUGAGCCCGACACUCUAGGUCCGACCAUAUGAACCUAGGGCUCUGAUACCAUUCUGUAACGACCCGAAAAUCGGACCGCUACCGGCGCUAGGAUCCGGGUCGACUUAAGGCCGCCAGGACCCGUAGCAAGCCUGACAUAAAACCUGUAAACCUGUAUAAUCCCAUACAUGAUCAACAACAUGCAUAAAAAUUA
This 259-nucleotide long non-coding RNA is filed under the name Manihot esculenta (cassava). Its description in RNAcentral is "long non-coding RNA (MESC_LNC005933)". The record is from RNAcentral. Lineage: Eukaryota; Viridiplantae; Streptophyta; Magnoliopsida; Malpighiales; Euphorbiaceae.